AGUAUCUUUGUUUUCUUCUGUUUUCUUCUCCACCUCCUCCUCCACCUCCUGGUCAGUGUUGGUGUCACUGUAGCUGUUGCUUUCGGAAGACUUCUCACUUUGUCCCGAGUCACUGCCUGCAAACUUCACCCUCCGCUUGGAUUUCUACUUACAGAAGAAGUAAGGGGGACACGAGAACAAAGCUCUCAGGAAACUAUGAUGUCACUGCUGUGUAUGGGCAACCCCAGCAGCUCCUCCAGCAGACACUGCCCCCUUCUAUCUUUCCAGGUGCCACUGACCAAGCUGCCCACCAGUAGAUAGGCAGUUCUGGCUGAUGACCUGUCUCCGUAUAUAGCUGAUAGAAACCAACACGGAAUAUCAUCCCCACUGAUACUACUAAUAUUUCUAACUUUACUGAUGAAGUAUACGAGGGCAGACUUAUCCAAUCUCUCUGAACUGCCUGAAGUGUUCAGUCAAAAUUACAACUACCACUAGUCACAGGUUCAAUAAGAUGUUCUGCAAAAAACAAUACAGAAAUGUUGUUUCUCUGCCAAUCAUACAGUAUGUUGACUUUGUGUAGAUAGUAAUAUGUUUGUUGAACAUCAGUGAUUCUAAGAUUCUAAGAAUAACUAUUACC
Long non-coding RNA from Oncorhynchus tshawytscha (Chinook salmon), 616 nucleotides. RefSeq lists it as uncharacterized. NCBI's taxonomy places the organism in Eukaryota, Metazoa, Chordata, Actinopteri, Salmoniformes, Salmonidae. The record is from RefSeq and is a predicted model, not a curated record. The transcript is spliced from 3 exons.